RNAcentral lists this ribosomal RNA (1373 nucleotides) under uncultured marine bacterium. RNAcentral describes it as "bacterial SSU rRNA". It matches the Rfam family "Bacterial small subunit ribosomal RNA", at positions 27 to 1393 of the family's 1533-position model. The record is from RNAcentral.
GGAUGAACGCUAGCGGCAGGCUUAACACAUGCAAGUCGAGGGGUAACAGGGAUUGCUUGCAAUCCGCUGACGACCGGCGCACGGGUGCGUAACGCGUAUGCAACCUACCUUCUACAGGGGGAUAGUCAAUAGAAAUGUUGAAUAAUACCCCAUACGAUCUUUAAAUAGCAUUAUUUAAAGAAGAAAGCUCCGGCGGUAGAAGAUGGGCAUGCGUCCUAUUAGUUAGUUGGUAAGGUAACGGCUUACCAAGACUUCGAUAGGUAGGGGUCCUGAGAGGGAGACCCCCCACACUGGUACUGAGACACGGACCAGACUCCUACGGGAGGCAGCAGUGAGGAAUAUUGGACAAUGGAGGCAACUCUGAUCCAGCCAUGCCGCGUGCAGGAAGACUGCCCUAUGGGUUGUAAACUGCUUUUAUACAGGAAGAAAUAUACCUACGUGUAGGUAUUUGACGGUACUGUACGAAUAAGGAUCGGCUAACUCCGUGCCAGCAGCCGCGGUAAUACGGAGGAUCCAAGCGUUAUCCGGAAUCAUUGUGUUUAAAGGGUCCGUAGGCGGUCUUUUAAGUCAGAGGUGAAAUCCUACAGCUCAACUGUAGAAUUGCCUUUGAUACUGAAAGACUUGAGUUAUUGUGAAGUAGUUAGAAUGUGUGGUGUAGCGGUGAAAUGCAUAGAGAUCACACAGAAUACCGAUUGCGAAGGCAGAUUACUAACAAUAUACUGACGCUGAGGGACGAAAGCGUGGGUAGCGAACAGGAUUAGAUACCCUGGUAGUCCACGCCGUAAACGAUGGAUACUAGCUGUUCGACCAACAUUGGUUGGUUGAGUGGCUAAGCGAAAGUGAUAAGUAUCCCACCUGGGGAGUACGGUCGCAAGACUGAAACUCAAAGGAAUUGACGGGGGCCCGCACAAGCGGUGGAGCAUGUGGUUUAAUUCGAUGAUACGCGAGGAACCUUACCAGGGCUUAAAUGUAAGUUGCAUGAUUUAGAGAUAGAUCUUUCUUCGGACUACUUACAAGGUGCUGCAUGGUUGUCGUCAGCUCGUGCCGUGAGGUGUCAGGUUAAGUCCUAUAACGAGCGCAACCCCUGUCGUUAGUUGCCAGCAAGUUAAGUUGGGCACUCUAGCGAGACUGCCAGUGCAAACUGUGAGGAAGGUGGGGAUGACGUCAAAUCAUCACGGCCCUUACGUCCUGGGCUACACACGUGCUACAAUGGUCGGUACAGAGAGCAGCCACUACGCGAGUAGGAGCGAAUCUAUAAAACCGAUCUCAGUUCGGAUCGCAGUCUGCAACUCGACUGCGUGAAGCUGGAAUCGCUAGUAAUCGGAUAUCAGCCAUGAUCCGGUGAAUACGUUCCCGGGCCUUGUACUCACCGC